Non-coding RNA from Microcebus murinus (gray mouse lemur), 1844 nucleotides. The record is from RefSeq and is a predicted model, not a curated record. Lineage: Eukaryota; Metazoa; Chordata; Mammalia; Primates; Cheirogaleidae.
AGUUUUCAUUUCAUAAUGGGAUAAGAAUAUGUUUUAUUAAAACCUAUAAAGCAAAAAUCAGCUUAGUUAUCAACUUCCAGAAGCAAAUUCUUCAGAAUAUUGCUGGGCUAUUCAAGAACUGGGGUGUUGAUGAAAAUCCUGAUGCAUUGAUGCUGCCAUUCAAUUUCUAAAGGUUUCUUGAAGAAAAAUAGAGUAAUUGUUGAAGGAAUGAACAAAUUCAGAUAAGCCUGUUUACUAAACUAGAACCAGAACGUACACUCUUAAGAGUCUCCAAGUUCUCUAUGAAUCCAUGAAAUCUGUGCUUUUACUUCAAUUACGAUAUUUUUAAAAGAAUGAGUGCUGUAUUAAAGAAAUCAAAAUCAUGCAAAUUCUGGAUCAUAUGAGUGCAACCACAAUCUUACUGCCUCUUUUGCUAUGUACCUAUAAGGACGUGCAGUUUAUUUAAGUAAUAUUUUGAUGAAAAACAACGGGGCAUCACUGAAGUUCCAUGGUAAUUUUUUAAAGUUUUGUAUAUUACUUAAGUGUGAGAAACACUACUUACCCCAGCUGCAUGCAUCAUAACUGUUCUUGGAGAAUGAUGAAUUAAAAGGCCUUGAAUCUGAAAUUUAGUUCUAAUCCUGAGGCCCUAAGAAACUGAUAUUAUAUUCUAAAAAUCGAAGUGACUAAAUCAGAAUAGUGGAGAGAAGAAGAGAAAAUCAAAAGCCGAAAGUUGCACUAAAGAUUCUGUCGGGUUUGGCACCCUUUUUCCCAAAAGGUAAACGUUUAAACCAGUCAGGGCAGACAUUUGUUUAUCUUCAAGUUAACCUUUCCCAAAUGUAUCAAUGACUCAUUAAUCGUGCAUUUCAUACAAGAGUUAUUGGCCAUCUACCAUAUUCAGGGAACUGUGAGAGCUAAGCAGGGAGUCCUCAUGCUGCCUAUGGUUUAAGGAAGUUGGUGCAGUCACUCCUGGCACACAGCAGGUUAUGUGCAAACCAGUGUGUGACUGUGGGCCAACUAUGUGAUAAAAGAGGCAUCACAAAAUUGUGCAAAUUAUUGUGCAAAUUAUUCAUUAAAUGAUGUUGAAGCACUUGCCAAAAAUUCUGUUAGUGCCUCCCCUCAUACCAUUCCUGAAAAUAUUUCCAAAAGGAAUAAGAUGUUAAAUAUAUUUUUUUUAGAAAAUCAUAAAUUAACUCAAAGCAAAUAUAGGUAAAUACUUAUCUUUACUUUGGAAAAGGACCAUGGAAGAAAGAAAGCUGCAGAAGAAACAAAGAUUGGUUGGCUUGACUACAUAAAAAUAUUUCCCUAUUUUCUCAAAAUUUCCCCUAAAUUUUUUUUAGCAAAAAACCAAACAAAUAAGAGACAAAAGAAGAAAUGAAGAAGCAACACUAUAUUAUAUUAACACAUAUUAUAACAUAUGCUCAAAGGGUUAAAAUCUUUAAUAUAUGAAAGAAGUCUUACAAAUCAACAAAAUGAAUCUUCUAUAGAAAGUUGGACAAAUAUCAUGAAUAGAUGAGAAAAAAAUCUAUUAUAUAUGAGAAUUAGAAAAAAAUUUUACUCACUGUAAAAACUGAAGAAAAAGUAAUGGAAACAAAACAGAUAAAAUGUUUCAUACAAUUUGUCAGCAAUUGAGAAUACUGUCUAUUGGUAAGAUUGACUUUAUAAAGGACACAGUUGCCAUGGAGAAUGUAAACUGGAAAGCAAUUUCUAGAAAGUAAUUAGGUGAUAUGUAUCAAACAUCUUAAAAAUAUUUAUAACAUUUGACACAUUAAUCCCAUUUCAGGAAUUAAUGCUAUGAAAAUAAUCAUCAGUUACACAAAAAUUUGUUUAAAAGAAUAAUCAGCAUCUAAUAACUUUAGAAAUGGUGA